This 429-nucleotide ribosomal RNA is filed under the name Gemmatimonadota bacterium. RNAcentral describes it as "Gemmatimonadetes bacterium partial 16S ribosomal RNA". It matches the Rfam family "Bacterial small subunit ribosomal RNA", at positions 355 to 776 of the family's 1533-position model. Lineage: Bacteria; Pseudomonadati; Gemmatimonadota. The record is from RNAcentral.
UAGGGAAUCUUCGGCAAUGGACGAAAGUCUGACCGAGCAACGCCGCGUGAGUGAAGAAGGCUUUCGGAUCGUAAAACUCUGUUGUUAGAGAAGAACAAGGACGUUAGUAACUGAACGUCCCCUGACGGUAUCUAACCAGAAAGCCACGGCUAACUACGUGCCAGCAGCCGCGGUAAUACGUAGGUGGCAAGCGUUGUCCGGAUUUAUUGGGCGUAAAGCGAGCGCAGGCGGUUUCUUAAGUCUGAUGUGAAAGCCCCCGGCUCAACCGGGGAGGGUCAUUGGAAACUGGGAGACGUGAAUGCAGAAGAGGAGAGUGGAAUUCCAGGUGUAGCGGUGAAGUGCGUAGAUAUAUGGAGGAACACCAGUGGCGAAGGCGGCUCUCUGGUCUGUAACUGACGCUGAGGCUCGAAAGCGUGGGGAGCAAACAGG